This 92-nucleotide transfer RNA is filed under the name Chloroflexota bacterium. RNAcentral describes it as "Chloroflexi bacterium tRNA-Ser". It matches the Rfam family "tRNA". From Rfam's summary of the family: Transfer RNA (tRNA) molecules are approximately 80 nucleotides in length. Their secondary structure includes four short double-helical elements and three loops (D, anti-codon, and T loops). RNAcentral also lists the same sequence under 1 other name. Lineage: Bacteria; Bacillati; Chloroflexota. The record is from RNAcentral.
GGAGGGAUCGCAUAGUGGUCUAGUGCGGGCGCCUGCUAAGCGCUUAGAGGCUUAACGGCUUCUCCAGGGUUCGAAUCCCUGUCCCUCCGCCA